UCUAUUAAAAAAAAAGCACACCUAGAAAUGGAAAGUUGCUUAACAUAACAAAUGCCAUAUAUGACAAGCCCGCAGCUAACAUCGUACCUAAAAGUGGAAAACCGAAAACUCUAGGAUCGGAAACAAGGCAAAGACUCCCACUCUCACCAUUUCUAGUCAACAUAAGACCAGCUCUAAAGGAGUGUAAAUAUUUCUCCCUUGAGCCAGUCUCUCCUUAAAUUCUUAUUAGCACCUGUAGAGCUCCUUCUAACACAGCGGUUCUCAAGGUGUGGUUUAAUGAUUAGCCACAUUCGUUUCACGUUUCAUGUGGAACCUUGUUAGCAGUGCAAAUUCUUGCGCUCCCCCCAGGUCAAGUGAAUCACAAACAGUAGGAAUGGGUGUCAUCAAUUGUGUUUAACAAGCCCUUCAGGUGAAUUGGUUUCCCACUGAAGUAUAAGAGCAACUGUCCAAUCACGGGCAAGCACUAACGCCAGAGGUCAAAUGGAGGAUUUCAGUGGGAGGAAUUAAGAAGUGACCUCGUGCAAGAUUCCUAGUUCUAGUCUUUGUUUUUAUCAACAAAGGAGAGGCAAAAAGGGUAUGGAAACAAGGGGCAGUGAAGUACUGGGUCCAAUAAUUAAAUCUACCACCUUGGCCCCAGAAUGUGAGAUUCAUGCAGACGGAAACCCAGGAAUUUCUUGGUGAUUCUGUUACCCAUGGAGCGUAGAUCAGCGCUUGGUACGUGGUAAGCUUUCACAAAUCCUUGCUAAACUACGGAAGGCUUAUUUAAUCACAAAUAAUAUAGGUUAUUCCUGUAUUUUAAAUACAAGUGGCUUUUUGUUUGUUUGUUUGUUUUGGAAACAGUCCAGGUGGCUUGCUGCGGCGCUGCAGAGGGAAAACCAGAAUGGAUACUCUCUCGGGGAAGCAGAUCUGAGAAAAGACAACCUAGAAGGGGCUCGUGCACAUGUUGCAUUUUCUUCUCUGGAGUUUGUCAACCAAAUACAUCGCUUCACUCCCGUAAGAAAUGGACAAAGUGUUUGGAUUAUUCUCACCAAUUUUGAGCUUAUCAAAGAAAGACUGGGUUAAUAUGAUCCAGGUUAAAUGACAUCAGCAAGAUGACAACUGAGGUCAUUCCUGACUUUACCCCCACUCACAAGAACAAGUGUCAUCUCUUUAAGAACAAGACAUCACUGAGAGAAUUCUAGAACACCGGAGAUGAAGCUGAAGCGGGCCCUUGUACCACAGAGACCAAGGCCAACUGCAUU
This 1241-nucleotide long non-coding RNA is filed under the name Ursus thibetanus thibetanus. RNAcentral's name for it is "lncRNA (ENSUTTG00000000258.1)". Lineage: Eukaryota; Metazoa; Chordata; Mammalia; Carnivora; Ursidae. The record is from RNAcentral.